AAGGAUGUCCAGACUAGAAAUGGAGGCUUUGGGCCCAACAAAAUUUGCAAGGAAAUAAAGCAAAAGUUCAGCAAAGCCAACUUUGUCUUCUCUCACCUUCCUCCUCAUGUUUUCCUCCAUUAAUGGUCUCUUGAAGGUAAAAGUGAAAAUCCAAUUUUUUCUCAAAAUUCAUGAAACAAAAGAGUUUUAUGUUAGAUUUUAUAUGGGUUUUAAUAUUCUAGUAUUAAUUUUAAGCUAAUGUUAU
Molecule: long non-coding RNA, 244 nt
Filed under: Lathyrus oleraceus (garden pea)
Lineage: Eukaryota; Viridiplantae; Streptophyta; Magnoliopsida; Fabales; Fabaceae
Description: Pisum sativum (pea) long non-coding RNA (PSAT_LNC006270)
Source: RNAcentral